RNAcentral lists this unclassified non-coding RNA (1023 nucleotides) under Leishmania donovani. Its description in RNAcentral is "gene:unknown". The record is from RNAcentral. Lineage: Eukaryota; Euglenozoa; Kinetoplastea; Trypanosomatida; Trypanosomatidae.
UACCUCCUUUGCCCUCUUGCUUGACGUAACCUCCAUCUCACAGCUGCCGAGGAAAGCGAGAGAGAAGAGAGCCCGAGCACACGAGAAAAAAAAAGGCGGCGCUGCUACACCCGAAGCCGCUUCGCGCUGCUCCUUCCUUGGGCCUCUUCCGGGGCGAUGCGCAGCAAAGACACUGACACACAAGGAAACGUGCUUAGCAAGCAUUUGCAUUCACAGCUACAUAUGGAGCGGGUCAAAGUCAGACUAGCAGCUCGAGCGGCGGGUGCCAAAAAUAAAUAAUAAUACACUCCUAUUAACCAGCGAAUAUGUAGCGAUGGCAAUCUCUCCUUCUCUUUUCUCCUUUUACAUGAGAGCGUCGGACUGUGAAGUUCUCACGCAGGGAAAAGGCAAAGGAAGGGGGGAGUUACCAGAGUUCGAGAAAAGAGUGCAGGUGGAAGCAGGCAAGCUAACGAAAAAGCGACCAGAAGCGACUUUCAACGCUGCUGUUGACCGCAACACUCCGCCCCCGCUUUCAUCCUUCUUUUACGAGCGUUCUGCAUCCGUGUUUGCUUCCGUGUGUCUUCGUCUGUGCAUUUUCUUUUCUUGCUUUUGCGACUGCUUUGUCCCUCGACCGCUAUAUGAUCUCUCUCUCUGUCCUCCAUGAGCCCUCGCGAUCCUCGUACGGUUGCUUGAGAGACUCCGUGUUUGCGUGUGUGUACGUGGGUAGUCUUCUUUUUCUGCUCAAGGAAGCGGCGCAGCUUGGGAUGAGUUUUUCACUCAAAUCGCUCCCUGCUGUGCUCCUUCCCCUUGCUUCUGUAGUGGCGCAUAGGCUGCCUUUUGUGAAUUGCUGGCACACGCUCACGCGAUAGCACGUUCACAUGCUUUCCCCCAUCAUACACACACACACACACAAACCCUCCCCUUGCUGGACUUAUUACACUCGCUCCUGCGAAUGUGUGUGGGGGGAGGGAGGGUGUUUGAAGGUCUUUAUGAGUCUCUUUUCUUCUCUGCAUACACUCGAUCAAACAAGGUACGGAUGGCAAG